GCUUGGUUGGCUUAGCCGGUUAAGCAUCUGACUUCAGCUCAGGUCAUGAUAUCGUGGUUCGUGAGUUCGAGUCCCACAUCGGGUA
RNAcentral lists this transfer RNA (85 nucleotides) under Felis catus (domestic cat). It matches the Rfam family "tRNA". From Rfam's summary of the family: Transfer RNA (tRNA) molecules are approximately 80 nucleotides in length. Their secondary structure includes four short double-helical elements and three loops (D, anti-codon, and T loops). The record is from Rfam by way of RNAcentral. Lineage: Eukaryota; Metazoa; Chordata; Mammalia; Carnivora; Felidae.